CUCCCUCACUCCACGCCCCUCCUCGGGGACAGCUCUGCUCGGAACUGUCCUGAAGGUCAUCCUAUUUGAUUCUUUGAAUGUUGUUUAGAGUUGGGGUCUGAUAUAAAAUGUCACUUUCGGAAUUUCAUCAACCAUGACAACGGAGUCUUGCUCUGUAGCUGAGGCUGGGGUGCAGUGGCGCGAUCUCGGCUCACUGCAAGAUCCGCCUUCGGGGUUCACGCCAUUCUCCUGCCUCAGCCUCCCGAGUAGCUGGGAUUACAGGCGCCCGCCACUGCGCCCAGCUAAUUUUUUGUAUUUUUAGUAGAGACGGGGUUUCACGGUGGUCUUGAUCUCCUGACCUCGUGAUCCACCCGCCUCGGCGUCCCAAAGUGCUGGGAUUUGUGUGCUUUAAUCUUGAUGAUAUGUUGUAUUUUUAAGUAUUCAGUUAUUUAAAAGAUAAUGUAUUUUAAUGAGGCAAUAAACAAGUUAUAUUACUUUUUUUUUUUGAGACAGAGUUUCGCUCUUGUUGCCCAGGCUACAGUGCAGUGGUGCAAUCUCACUCACUGCAAACUCCGCCUCCAGUGUUCAAGCGAUUCUCCUUUCUCAGCCUCCCAGGUAGCUGGGAUUACAGGCAUGUGCCACCACGCCCAGCUAAUUUUGCAUUUUUAGUAGAGACAGGGUUUCUCCAUGUUGGUCAGGCUUGUCUUGAACUCCAAACUUCAGAGGAUCCACCAGCCUCAGCCUCCCCAAGUGCUGGGGUUAUAGGUGUGAGCCACCGCACCCGGCCACAAAUUAUAUUAAUUCUAAAAUGGAAGGAAUUGCUAAUAAUGCUAUCAGAAUGUGGUAUGUUAAAGGUCAGUUGUCUGCCUCCCCAGACAUCCUGGGUUAGCAUUAUCUUGAUGAACUCCCAUGGUCUGAUCUAGAAACCUACCUCAAUUUUUUAACAUCAGAAACUUGAUUUGUCUGUAUGCUAAAAGUGAUUCCUAUUAAAUGAGAGUUUUGUUUCUACCAGACUAAUUUUUAUGUCGUAAAAAAUUAUUAACAGAUUAUGUUAGUUUCUUUAUUCAAUUUAUUCAUGUCAUAAUUAAAAAUGAUUACUUCUUUUU
Molecule: long non-coding RNA, 1085 nt
Organism: Symphalangus syndactylus (siamang)
Lineage: Eukaryota; Metazoa; Chordata; Mammalia; Primates; Hylobatidae
Source: RefSeq, a predicted model, not a curated record